Molecule: ribosomal RNA, 405 nt
Filed under: uncultured bacterium
Lineage: Bacteria
Description: bacterial SSU rRNA
Rfam family: Bacterial small subunit ribosomal RNA
Source: RNAcentral
AGCGAACGCUGGCGGCAGGCCUAACACAUGCAAGUCGAACGCCCCUUCGGGGGAGUGGCAGACGGGUGAGUAACGCGUGGGAACGUGCCCAUCGGUUCGGAACAACCCAGGGAAACUUGGGCUAAGACCGGAUACGCCCCUCGGGGGAAAGAUUUAUCGCCGAUGGAUCGGCCCGCGUCUGAUUAGCUUGUUGGUGGGGUAACGGCCCACCAAGGCGACGAUCAGUAGCUGGUCUGAGAGGAUGAUCAGCCACACUGGGACUGAGACACGGCCAGACUCCUACGGGAGGCAGCAGUGGGGAAUAUUGGACAAUGGGCGCAAGCCUGAUCCAGCCAUGCCGCGUGAGUGAUGACGGCCCUAGGGUUGUAAAGCUCUUUCGCACGCGACGAUAAUGACGGUAGCGUG